CAGAGCGUAGCUAAGCUAGCUAAAGCAUCUCCCUUACACUGAGAAGUCGCCCGUGCAAAUCGAGCCGCUCUGA
This 73-nucleotide transfer RNA is filed under the name Bembrops curvatura (brownspotted flathead). RNAcentral describes it as "tRNA-Val". It matches the Rfam family "tRNA". From Rfam's summary of the family: Transfer RNA (tRNA) molecules are approximately 80 nucleotides in length. Their secondary structure includes four short double-helical elements and three loops (D, anti-codon, and T loops). The record is from RNAcentral. Lineage: Eukaryota; Metazoa; Chordata; Actinopteri; Perciformes.